This 476-nucleotide ribosomal RNA is filed under the name uncultured bacterium. RNAcentral's name for it is "bacterial SSU rRNA". It matches the Rfam family "Bacterial small subunit ribosomal RNA", at positions 15 to 518 of the family's 1533-position model. The record is from RNAcentral.
GAUCAUGGCUCAGGAUGAACGCUGGCGGCGUGCCUAACACAUGCAAGUCGAGCGAUUCUCUUCGGAGAAGAGCGGCGGACGGGUGAGUAACGCGUGGGUAACCUGCCUCAUACACAUGGAUAACAUACCGAAAGGUAUGCUAAUACAGGAUAAUAUAAGAGAUUCACAUGGAUUUCUUAUCAAAGCUCCGGCGGUAUGAGAUGGACCCGCGUCUGAUUAGCUAGUUGGUAAGGUAACGGCUUACCAAGGCGACGAUCAGUAGCCGACCUGAGAGGGUGAUCGGCCACAUUGGAACUGAGACACGGUCCAAACUCCUACGGGAGGCAGCAGUGGGGAAUAUUGCACAAUGGGCGAAAGCCUGAUGCAGCAACGCCGCGUGAGUGAUGAAGGCCUUCGGGUCGUAAAACUCUGUCCUCAAGGAAGAUAAUGACGGUACUUGAGGAGGAAGCCCCGGCUAACUACGUGCCAGCAGCCGC